CCUUUGGAGAACCAUACGGACAAAAGUAGUAAUUGUAUAUUAUGAAAUUGGGUUCGUUGAAUAAGGAA
RNAcentral lists this non-coding RNA (68 nucleotides) under unclassified sequences. RNAcentral's name for it is "RAGATH-18 RNA". It matches the Rfam family "RAGATH-18 RNA". Rfam says of the family: Actinobacteria, Firmicutes, Fusobacteria, Thermotogae (1 example). The record is from Rfam by way of RNAcentral.